UGGGGAAUAUUGCACAAUGGGCGCAAGCCUGAUGCAGCGACGCCGCGUGAGGGAUGACGGCCUUCGGGUUGUAAACCUCUUUCAGCAGGGACGAAGCGCAAGUGACGGUACCUGCAGAAGAAGGACCGGCCAACUACGUGCCAGCAGCCGCGGUAAUACGUAGGGUCCGAGCGUUGUCCGGAAUUACUGGGCGUAAAGAGCUCGUAGGUGGUUUGUCGCGUUGUUCGUGAAAACUCACAGCUUAACUGUGGGCGUGCGGGCGAUACGGGCAGACUGGAGUACUGCAGGGGAGACUGGAAUUCCUGGUGUAGCGGUGGAAUGCGCAGAUAUCAGGAGGAACACCGGUGGCGAAGGCGGGUCUCUGGGCAGUAACUGACGCUGAGGAGCGAAAGCGUGGGGAGCGAACAGGAUUAGAUACCCUGGUAGUCCACGCCGUAAACGGUGGGUACUAGGUGUGGGUUUCCUUCCUUGGGAUCCGUGCCGUAGCUAACGCAUUAAGUACCCCGCCUGGGGAGUACGGCCGCAAGGCUA
Molecule: ribosomal RNA, 531 nt
Filed under: uncultured bacterium
Lineage: Bacteria
Description: bacterial SSU rRNA
Rfam family: Bacterial small subunit ribosomal RNA
Source: RNAcentral